Molecule: long non-coding RNA, 1032 nt
Organism: Brassica oleracea var. oleracea
Lineage: Eukaryota; Viridiplantae; Streptophyta; Magnoliopsida; Brassicales; Brassicaceae
Exons: 5
Source: RefSeq, a predicted model, not a curated record
UUGGAGGCUUUAAAAUAGGCCGUGUACUUAACCGUUCUUUCUUGCUUUUUGAGUUAUUCUUCUCCACUUCUCCUUUUUUCUCCUCUUCCAAUCGAGACAAACGUUCUUACAACAGAGCAUCGAUUUUCAGAUUACCCAUAUAUGCUCACUUAGGAUUGAAUCAGCUCUAGGAUGUCAUCAACUUUUAUACGAGGGUGCCUGACAUCGAUCCAAGCAACGUACCGAUACAAUCAUGUUUGGCAGACGCUCAAGGUUUUGGGUCGAGCCCACACGCCAUCUCAUCCAUUCGGGAUGCUUUCCAAUGCCUUGAGAUGUCGAAGAAACUAAUGACACAUUCUUCAGUGAGAGGUUCUUUCUUUAAAAGCAGUCUGAUUUCGUAAAUAUUAGGACUCAGGCAGGUGAAUCAGCUAUGGAUCAGGAGGAUAAGAUGGUUGUGCCUCCAAGGAAGGAGCCUGAGGUAGAGAAGAAACAAAAACAGGAGCAGAAAGCUUUAAAUGAGAAAGACAUGGUGAAUGCGGCAUACAAGGCCUUCAAAAUACUAUCAAGAAUUACUCACAACCAUAGAACUUGAUGAUGAAGAUAUAUCUUUAUCACAAAUCGUGCUGCUGCUCAUUGGAGAUGACAAAGGACACAAAUGUGGAUAUCAGAAGCUUGGUAAGGAAAACACACAAAGGAGAGUUCCAAGUGGAAGUGGAGCUGAUGGAUAGUGGCUCAGUGGAGAUCUCUGUUGGAUCGAGUUCGAGUUCGCUUAACUGGAUCUGUUUCCAUACCUGUGGAAGAAUGUCUAUGAUAAAGUGCACUCCAGUUGAGUGUCUCUUAUGUGAUCUCUGUCAUCGGUAUUCUGAAAAGUGGUGAAAAGACUACUGCAAAAGAGUGGCCUAUGUUGCUUGAGAUCAAGGGUAGAGUCAGAUUAGAUGCAUUUGAGAAGUUUGUUCGAGAGCUCCCAAAUUCUAGGAGUCGUGCUGUAAUGUUUAUGUGUUUUGUCUGCAAAGAGGCGUGCUCCAAGACAGAACAAGAAACCAUUUCUGAGGU